This 306-nucleotide ribosomal RNA is filed under the name Rhizophagus irregularis. The record is from RNAcentral. Lineage: Eukaryota; Fungi; Glomeromycota; Glomeromycetes; Glomerales; Glomeraceae.
CAGUCGUACUUACGGGUAAUCAGCCUUUUGGGUGUGAUUUUGUGGAGCGUGAGGAGUUAAACGCCUUCAUGCCUGCAUAUUCGUGCACUUUGGGUGUACUUGCCCGUGUGUAAGUUAACAUCAAUUUUGGUGGUCAUAAAAUGGCUGGAGGAAUGUAGCUUUGGUCUCGUAUCGAAGUGUUAUAGACUCUGGUAGAUGUGACGAUUGGGGAUUGAGGAUUGUAACGGAUACCCGUUCGGGCCUACCCGGUCUGAUCUCUGAAGGUUGCUCCGGUGCCGAAGGCGUGCUUAGUGGUCAUCGAAAGUG